AUCGCUAUAGCAUUCCUUACACUCAUCGAAUGAAAAAUCUUAGGCUACAUACAACUACGCAAAGGACCUAACAUUGUAGGUCCCUACGGGCUGCUUCAACCAUUCGCUAACGCAAUAAAACUUUUCACCAAAGAACCCUUACAGCCCUCAACAUCUACUAUUACCCUUUAUAUUAUUGCUCCAAUCCUAGCCCUUCCUAUCGAUCUCCUCUUAUGAACUCCCCUCCCUAUACCAAAUCCUCUAAUUAAUUUUAACAUAGGCCUCCUAUUUAUACUAGCCAUAUCAAUCCUAGCCAUUUAUUCUAUGAUCAGGAUGAGCAUCUAAUUCAAAAUAUGCACUAAUUGGCGCAUCACGAGCUGUGGCCCAGACAAUUUCAAAUGAGGUCACCCUAGCCAUUAUCCUGUUAUCAGUUUUACUGAUAAGUGGUUCAUUUAACUUAUAUGCAUUCAUCACAAUGCAAGAACUCCUCUGACUGCUCCUACCAUCAUUACCCCUAGCCAUAAUGUGAUUAUCCCCACACCAGCAGAAACUAACCGAGCCCAUUUUGAUCUAACAGAAGGAGAGUCAGAAUUGUCUCAGGCUUCAACAUCAAAUAUGCCACAAGCUCAUUUGUCCUCUUCUUUAUAGCAGAGUACAUGAAUAUUAUCAUAAUAAAUGCCCUAACUACCACUAUCUUCCUAGGAGCACUACAUACCAUAUAUUCACCAGAACUCUAUACCAUAAAUUUCAUUACCAAGACCCUUCUUUUAACCACCCUAUUCUUAUGAAUUCUAAGAGCAUACCCUUGAUUCUGCUACAACCAGCUCAUAUAUCUUCUAUGAAAAAAUUUCCUACAACUUACACUAGCAUGCUGUAUAUGACAUAUCUCAAUGCCUGUCCUAAUUUCUAGCAUCCCACCCCA
Molecule: long non-coding RNA, 901 nt
Filed under: Homo sapiens (human)
Lineage: Eukaryota; Metazoa; Chordata; Mammalia; Primates; Hominidae
Description: non-protein coding lnc-MTRNR2L10-1:1
Source: RNAcentral